UACGUAGGUGGCUAGCGUUGUCCGGAUUUAUUGGGCGUAAAGAGCGUGUAGGCGGCCAGAUAGGUCUGCUGUGAAAACUCGAGGCUCAACCUCGAGAUGUCGGCGGAAACCAUUUGGCUAGAGUCCGGAAGAGGAAAGUGGAAUUCCUGGUGUAGCGGUGAAAUGCGCAGAUAUCAGGAAGAACACCCGUGGCGAAGGCGGCUUUCUGGGACGGUACUGACGCUGAGACGCGAAAGCGUGGGGAGCGAACAGG
This 253-nucleotide ribosomal RNA is filed under the name uncultured bacterium. RNAcentral's name for it is "partial 16S ribosomal RNA". It matches the Rfam family "Bacterial small subunit ribosomal RNA", at positions 524 to 776 of the family's 1533-position model. The record is from RNAcentral.